AUGAACGCUGGCGGCGUGCCUAAUACAUGCAAGUCGAGCGAACAGAUAAGGAGCUUGCUCCUUUGACGUUAGCGGCGGACGGGUGAGUAACACGUGGGUAACCUACCUAUAAGACUGGGAUAACUUCGGGAAACCGGAGCUAAUACCGGAUAACAUUUGGAACCGCAUGGUUCUAAAGUGAAAGAUGGUUUUGCUAUCACUUAUAGAUGGACCCGCGCCGUAUUAGCUAGUUGGUAAGGUAACGGCUUACCAAGGCGACGAUACGUAGCCGACCUGAGAGGGUGAUCGGCCACACUGGAACUGAGACACGGUCCAGACUCCUACGGGAGGCAGCAGUAGGGAAUCUUCCGCAAUGGGCGAAAGCCUGACGGAGCAACGCCGCGUGAGUGAUGAAGGGUUUCGGCUCGUAAAACUCUGUUAUUAGGGAAGAACAAACGUGUAAGUAACUGUGCACGUCUUGACGGUACCUAAUCAGAAAGCCACGGCUAACUACGUGCCAGCAGCCGCGGUAAUACGUAGGUGGCAAGCGUUAUCCGGAAUUAUUGGGCGUAAAGCGCGCGUAGGCGGUUUCUUAAGUCUGAUGUGAAAGCCCACGGCUCAACCGUGGAGGGUCAUUGGAAACUGGGAAACUUGAGUGCAGAAGAGGAAAGUGGAAUUCCAUGUGUAGCGGUGAAAUGCGCAGAGAUAUGGAGGAACACCAGUGGCGAAGGCGACUUUCUGGUCUGUAACUGACGCUGAUGUGCGAAAGCGUGGGGAUCAAACAGGAUUAGAUACCCUGGUAGUCCACGCCGUAAACGAUGAGUGCUAAGUGUUAGGGGGUUUCCGCCCCUUAGUGCUGCAGCUAACGCAUAAGCACUCC
Molecule: ribosomal RNA, 859 nt
Filed under: bacterium
Lineage: Bacteria
Description: bacterial SSU rRNA
Rfam family: Bacterial small subunit ribosomal RNA
Source: RNAcentral